Long non-coding RNA from Cygnus olor (mute swan), 449 nucleotides. RefSeq lists it as uncharacterized. The transcript is spliced from 4 exons. Lineage: Eukaryota; Metazoa; Chordata; Aves; Anseriformes; Anatidae. The record is from RefSeq and is a predicted model, not a curated record.
UGUACGUGUGGUGUGUGUAGGGGUAGGUGUACGUGUAGGUGUACACAUGGUGUGUGUAGGGGUAGGUAAAGGUGUACAUAUGGUGUGUGCAGAGAUAGGUGUAGGUGUACGUGUGGUGUGUGUAGGGGUAGGUGUACGUGUAGGUGUACACAUGGUGUGUGUAGGGGUAGGUAAAGGUGUACAUAUGGUGUGUGCAGAGAUAGGUGUAGGUGUACGUGUGGUGUGUGUAGGGGUAGGUGUACGUGUAGGUGUACACAUGGUGUGUGUAGGGGUAGGUAAAGGUGUACAUAUGGUGUGUGCAGAGAUAGGUGUAGGUGUACGUGUGGUGUGUGUAGGGGUAGGUGUACGUGUAGGUGUACACAUGGUGUGUGUAGGGGUAGGUAAAGGUGUACAUAUGGUGUGUGCAGAGAUAGGUGUAGGUGUACGUGUGGUGUGUGUAGGGGUAGGUG